RNAcentral lists this ribosomal RNA (447 nucleotides) under uncultured bacterium. RNAcentral describes it as "SSU rRNA". It matches the Rfam family "Bacterial small subunit ribosomal RNA", at positions 26 to 518 of the family's 1533-position model. The record is from RNAcentral.
AGAGCGAACGCUGGCGGCAGGCUUAACACAUGCAAGUCGAGCGGGCGUAGCAAUACGUCAGCGGCAGACGGGUGAGUAACGCGUGGGAACAUACCUUUUGGUUCGGAACAACACAGGGAAACUUGUGCUAAUACCGGAUAAGCCCUUACGGGGAAAGAUUUAUCGCCGAAAGAUUGGCCCGCGUCUGAUUAGCUAGUUGGUGAGGUAACGGCUCACCAAGGCGACGAUCAGUAGCUGGUCUGAGAGGAUGAUCAGCCACAUUGGGACUGAGACACGGCCCAAACUCCUACGGGAGGCAGCAGUGGGGAUAUUGGACAAUGGGCGCAAGCCUGAUCCAGCCAUGCCGCGUGAGUGAUGAAGGCCCUAGGGUUGUAAAGCUCUUUUGUGCGGGAAGAUAAUGACGGUACCGCAAGAAUAAGCCCCGGCUAACUUCGCGCCAGCAGCCGC